GCGGUGACCGCCCAGGCGGCUGCCGCCUCCCCUCCGUCACCAAGGCAGGAAGACAGGAGGCUGCCGCAGAGCCAGAACAGCACGUGGAAACCGAGAUCGCUUGCUUGGGCCACUGGGCUCGGGAAUGUGCUGUCUCGUCAUAGCCUCGAAGACACUGGGACCUCGCCCUGUGGCCACGGCUGCUGCGGCGUCCUCCCCACCCCUGCUGGGCUAGCGGCCUGACGCCAUGCCGGCAGAAACCGGCCAAAGACAGCAGGAAGAUCCCUCCCUCUGUCUCGCAUCUACCGGAGAGCAGCUGCCAACAGACCUGAUAGCAAAUCUCGUCUCCCCGCAGCUGUGGGUGCAAGGCGUGCGGGCUGCCUAUUGCGGCCUAACCGACCGCCGCAAACGGUGCAUUUACCUUCUCUCGGCUUCUGUGUGUGGGCCGGGGGUCCCGGCCGGCAAGGCUGGUCUCUGUCUCAGUGUCUCACGUGGCCACCAUCGAGGCGUCUCAGCCAGGGGGUCAGGGGCUCGUCCCAAAGUUCAGCUGGGGAAGGAGCAGCCUCCCGGCCCAGGCUCAAAGCUGCCGAUACAGUGAUGGAGAAGACCCCCCCUCCUGGCUCCGGGUGCUCAGGUGGCUUCCAGGCCAGGGGCACUUGGAGGGACACAGCUGAAUUCAGCUCCAAGUGGCCGGCCUCUGCCCAGGAGGACAGGCAGAACGGGUGUUGCACGAGUUUCAUCCAUCGCAGAGUCGGGACGAGGGGUCUUAGCGGGCAGCCCGGCUCUCCCUUGGAACGGCUCAUCGGAGGACUAGACCGUGGCUGGUUGGUGGCGGUGGUCCGAUAUUCGAGAUAAUAGAAACCCCAGGAGAGCU
Microcebus murinus (gray mouse lemur) is the source of this 853-nucleotide non-coding RNA. The record is from RefSeq and is a predicted model, not a curated record. Lineage: Eukaryota; Metazoa; Chordata; Mammalia; Primates; Cheirogaleidae.